GGGUUCGUGUGCAAAACGGGAGUGAUAUGCAUUUAUAAAUGAUAAAUCGAGCUGGGUUCUGUCUACCGUGCAUCGCUACCCCCGAGAACAAAGGGAUUCAUCAUGGGAAAGUGUCCAACCUGCAAUAAGGAGGUGUACUUCGCUGAACGACAACCCUAUAACAACAAAGACUUUCACAAGACUUGCUUCAAGUGUACCAAAUGUGGCAGGAAACUUACACCAGGGAAAAUAGCAGAGCAUGACGGUCAGCUCUACUGCCCUCAUCCGUGUUACGCAGAUCUAUUUGGACCUCACGGUAAAAAAUGACAAUCGACUACUCUCAUCAGCCAAGCAUUUAUAUGGACCAAUCAACAAUACUUAGCUGUUGUUUUCUAAUUAUUUAAUUUUUAUAUAAAUUUCCCAUUUAACAUAAUAUAUAACAUGACUUUGGAAUACACUCUUACACACUUGCUUGAAAACAUUUUUAUAUAUUUUUAUAUAUGCUCCUGACCCCUAUAUGUGAAACAUGAAGAUGUUCUGGUUCAUCCAAAUAUAUACAUCUAUGUCACUAUAUGUUUGUUCUAAAAUUAGUGACUUUCUUUAUGAAAGCAAGUUGGAUAUAUACAACUUCACUGAAACGGUUUUAGCUAUACUCUAUUAUCGUGUACGAAUUUGUUUUGUAUGUAUGAAGUGUAAUAAAACCUUUCCAAAUUC
Haliotis rubra (blacklip abalone) is the source of this 693-nucleotide long non-coding RNA. RefSeq lists it as uncharacterized. The record is from RefSeq and is a predicted model, not a curated record. The transcript is spliced from 4 exons. Lineage: Eukaryota; Metazoa; Mollusca; Gastropoda; Lepetellida; Haliotidae.